CCUACGGGCGACCGCAGUGAGGAAUAUUGGUCCAUGGGCGGAAGCCUGAACCAGCCAAGUAGCGUGCAGGAUGACGGCCCUACGGGUUGUAAACUGCUUUUAUACGGGAAUAACGCGCCUUACGUUUAGGGCUUUGCAUGUACCGUAUGAAUAAGGACCGGCUAAUUCCGUGCCCGCAGCCGCGGUAAUACGGCAGGUCCGGGCGUUAUCCGGAUUUAUUGGGUUUAAAGGGAGCGUAGGCCGCAUGUCCAGCGUGCUGUGAAAUGUUCGGGCUCAACCCGGGCCUUGCAGCGCGAACUGGCGUGCUUGAGUCCGCGGAAAGCAGGCGGAAUUCGUCGUGUAGCGGGGAAAUGCUUAGAUAUGACGAAGAACCCCGAUUGCGAAGGCAGCUUGCUGCAGCGGAACUGAUGCUGAUGCUCGAAAGCGCGGGUAUCGAACAGGAUUAGAUACCCUUGUAGUC
This 460-nucleotide ribosomal RNA is filed under the name uncultured bacterium. Its description in RNAcentral is "partial 16S ribosomal RNA". It matches the Rfam family "Bacterial small subunit ribosomal RNA", at positions 338 to 795 of the family's 1533-position model. The record is from RNAcentral.